This 494-nucleotide ribosomal RNA is filed under the name uncultured bacterium. Its description in RNAcentral is "partial 16S ribosomal RNA". It matches the Rfam family "Bacterial small subunit ribosomal RNA", at positions 28 to 507 of the family's 1533-position model. The record is from RNAcentral.
GACGAACGCUGGCGGCGUGCUUAACACAUGCAAGUCGAACGGUGAAGCGCCUUCCUUUUUGGUGGGUGUGGAUGAGUGGCGAACGGGUGAGUAACACGUGAGUAACCUGCCCCCUUCUUCUGGAUAACCGCAUGAAAGUGUGGCUAAUACGGGAUAUUCUGGGUCUGUCGCAUGAUGGGUCUGGGAAAGAUAUUGUUUCGGUGGGGGAUGGGCUCGCGGCCUAUCAGCUUGUUGGUGGGGUGAUGGCCUACCAAGGCGGUGACGGGUAGCCGGCCUGAGAGGGUGGCGGGUCACACUGGGACUGAGACACGGCCCAGACUCCUACGGGAGGCAGCAGUGGGGAAUAUUGCACAAUGGGCGCAAGCCUGAUGCAGCGACGCCGCGUGAGGGAUGGAGGCCUUCGGGUUGUGAACCUCUUUCGCCAGUGAAGCAGGCCUGCCUCGUUUGUGGGUGGGUUGACGGUAGCUGGAUAAGAAGCGCCGGCUAACUACGUG